GGAGGAGUCCCAUAGAGGCCUAGUGGGCGCGCCUGGAAAGCGCGUGCGUCGGCAACGGCGCCGUGGGUUCGAAUCCCACCUCCUCCGCCA
RNAcentral lists this transfer RNA (90 nucleotides) under Chloroflexota bacterium. Its description in RNAcentral is "tRNA-Ser". It matches the Rfam family "tRNA". Rfam says of the family: Transfer RNA (tRNA) molecules are approximately 80 nucleotides in length. The record is from RNAcentral. RNAcentral also lists the same sequence under 2 other names. Lineage: Bacteria; Bacillati; Chloroflexota.